AAAAUAAUGAGAGCAUAAUAAAAUAAUAAGUAGGAUAGGUCAGAGUCAACCUCUUCACACUACAUGAGAUAUAGUGUGCUGUCUCAGCCAUCCUUGAUCUCAGCACACAGUAUAAUAGGCCCCUAUUUCAUUGAGAAUGAGGAAGGCAAUAAAGCAUCUGCUCUUAUGUUGGGUGGUGAUAAGAGCAUUGGCUUGUAUCAUCACCCAAGGCCACUACAGAGACAUGGCAAUUUUACUAUUCAGGGUUUCAAAAGGUCUUGUCAUGCAAAAGUCCUUCAUGUGAAUAGACAAUAUACCAACAUGAUGGGGGCAACCAGUUACACAGCUCAAGAAUCUUUAGCAAUUCUGCAGAAAACUUUCCAG
This 363-nucleotide long non-coding RNA is filed under the name Androctonus crassicauda. Lineage: Eukaryota; Metazoa; Arthropoda; Arachnida; Scorpiones; Buthidae. The record is from RNAcentral.